RNAcentral lists this non-coding RNA (131 nucleotides) under Tessaracoccus sp. ZS01. Lineage: Bacteria; Bacillati; Actinomycetota; Actinomycetes; Propionibacteriales; Propionibacteriaceae. The record is from RNAcentral. RNAcentral also lists the same sequence under 1 other name.
CGGAAGGGGGUCUGCGAGGAUGACUGCCAACGCGCAGAGCGUCAGAGGAACCCGGUGUGAAUCCGGGGCGGUCCCGCCACUGUGAGCCCUAACGGGUGAGUCAGGAACUCUGUCUGCGCGGCCACUUUGUC